This is a long non-coding RNA of Rosa chinensis, 535 nucleotides long. RefSeq lists it as uncharacterized. The record is from RefSeq and is a predicted model, not a curated record. Lineage: Eukaryota; Viridiplantae; Streptophyta; Magnoliopsida; Rosales; Rosaceae. The transcript has 4 exons.
UGAUCAGAUUUUUAUUUCAUUUUGGAUUCAAGCCAUUUGUGAAGAACAAUUUUCUUUGAGACUCUGAAAGGAUGCGUGUGGUCAUCCAGUAUUACUCUGAUGAUUGGCCAACAAAUGUUGCAAAGCUAGCAUUUGAAAAAUCUGUGUUUGCUAAGACUCUAAAGAUAAAUGGAAGGAUAGAAGAUAUGUAACAAUGCGGAGGUAAUCAUGUUCGAGUGCAACAUUCUUAUAUAUAAGUUUGUGCAGGAACUUCACUUCUUUGUGACUCGAGGUGACGAUAAAAAUGAACUCAUUUUAGCAACUCUACUUCAGGGAUUCUUUGAUGCAGUUGCCCUUCUCUUGAGGAACAAUGUCGACAAAAGGGAGGCAUUAGAGCACCUGGAUCUCAUACUCCUAUAGUUCAAUGCUUUGAUGUGAUCAUUGAUCAAGGAUCUGCUCAUUUUUUACCCUUUGCAACUGUUAAAGCUGAAGAGAUUUCAGUGUCACUGCCUGCUGAAAUACAUCACUUAGUUAAGUUUAUGUGAUUAAUCCUUAA